This is a long non-coding RNA of Columba livia (rock pigeon), 40299 nucleotides long. RefSeq lists it as uncharacterized. The record is from RefSeq and is a predicted model, not a curated record. The transcript has 9 exons. Lineage: Eukaryota; Metazoa; Chordata; Aves; Columbiformes; Columbidae.
CUGUGCGUUCCUCGCCGCAGGGCCAGGCGGGGGCCGAACGGCCGUGUGGUAUUCGGCUGCCUGCUGGGCUGCACCACAAUAAAGUGGAAAGAGCUGUGGUCGCUAGAUGGCGAUAAAGAAUCGAUAAGGGCUUUCCUGUUCAACAGGGAAAGUUUGUAGGAGCUUGGCCUAGAUUUGCCCUGGGAGAAAGACCUGGAAGAUACUAGAGAAACCAUGAAAAUAAGUAUGCAAUCAUUCUGCUUGGCAAUUGGGAUUUGUGUUGUUAUUGUCUGUUUCUUAAAAAAAAUCAGAUAGGUUGGAUUUAUCAAGCAGAAAAGGACGAUCAAAUUAAAAGUGUAAUUCUGAGUAAGAAGAGGAAGCUCAGCCUUGCUAGCGCGGGUACUCGGAGUACUGACGUUUCACUACACUGGGGUUUCAGUGUAUUACCCUGAGUCUUAGGAUACAUUUUUAUUGUUUAGCGUGAUCAGGAGGCAAUCCAAAUCUGGAUGACCCUGCUUCCCUGGUGCUGUGUGUUUGUGGCUUCUCUUCCGCUACACUGGGGCUGUGUGUAUCUUCAUUUUGCUUGAAGGUUAAUCUCAUUUGAAGGCAGAGUUUUGUGUGUACGAACCUGCUCCGAAAUACUGUUGUGAUUCUUACGGGAAGCAGAAGGACCUUAGUGAAGAAGUUGAACUGCCAGUACAGCCUGCGGUGAGCUGACGGGGAGAAGCUGAGCGACCAGUUUCUGGAUUUGCCCACUGCUGUUUCUCGGUGGUUCUGUUGCAAAGGGCAACGUGGGAUCUCGGUACUUAAUGCUGGCUUUUAUGGGGUCUGGAUUUUCAAUUAUCCGGAGGGUAAAAGUCACCAGCUGAGAGCCAGCGCCAGGCCCCCCACCACUUCAGCAUGUUUAGAGAAAGAAUAAGCAGCAUAGUUCUUACAAACCUUACCCAGCUGUGUAACUUGCAAAGUACCUUAUGACUGGCAGCUCUUCAUUUGCUGUCGAAGGGCUUUCUGGGUUGCUGGAAUUGAGUCACUUCGGGAUAAAACUUGUCAGGAACUUGAGCCCAACUAUUAUUUUUGAAUUAUUAUUUAGAAAAAAAAACCACAAAACCUAAUCAAACUAUUGGAUAGAUACCCUACAGUAUAUGAACCUUUCUCCCAGCAAUUCCGAAGGAAAUUCAGUAAAUGUGCAAGUGACCUGUGGGGUGAGUGGCGGUGAUUUCGGAGCGGCGCGUGUCGCUCCGCCCGCCGGCCCGGGUGCUGCUGCCUCUGCUGGGCCGGGCAGGUGCGGGUUUCUCGUUGCGUCACCAUGAUUAAUUUAUAAGCUCUGAGGUGACACAUCAUGUUUAUUAUGGAGAUGACUUUCUCGAACGAGCUCCCUGAAAUAACCUCCAAGGCUUUGUAAGGAACCUUACCUUUGGUAAUUAAUUAUGCAAACUUACUUUUAAUAUAUCUUUAGGUAAUCAGAACAAAAUAAGACAGUUGUCUUUGUUAAUUAUAAUGAAAACUUGCUUAUGAAUAUUGUAAUUAUGCACAUUACUGUGUCGCUGUCACUCAUGGCUGGGGUACCUUUAGGCGGUAUUAUUUUCCUCUUAUUAUCAUCGUUAACAAAGGGCUAAUGAAAGGGCUGAAGUUAGAGCUGCUGCAGUGUAAUUGCAGAAAACAUGAUUUGCUUGGCCAGAUGAGACACUGACGCUGCUUUGACGUUUGCUGUCCCCUGGACCACAGCAACGCACCAUUUUGGUGUGCAGGUAAAGCAGAACUUCUUUGUGACCGCUUAAAAUUGCUUUUUAAGUAUUUGAGAGUACUUCCAUUUAUUUUUGAGAUAAGGCUGUAUGUACCCAUAUCAGCUAAACUAAGUUUUAGUGAAGUGUGCUCGCAGGUCGGGUUUUCUUUGAGGUGGUAAGUCACAAAGCUGAAGGUCCCCUGGCCAGUUCCAGAGAGCUGGACGCGUGUGACAAUUAAUGAUGGACUCAGAUGCAGCUUCCUGGUACCUAGCGAGGCCAGGCGCCUUGUCCUGCGGGAGCUGACCGCCCCGACGGGCCAGCUGCGACAUCAGGCCGGAGCAGCGUGUUUCUGCCUUUUGCUUUGCUGUUUUUGGAGGGGCGGGCAGAGCGAAGUAGGAGGGAAAUUGGCUCUCUGCUGCCUUCUAAAAUCAGGAACAAAACUAGCGAAUAAUAGUCAUAACUGAGUUCAAAUUUGAAAACUUGGAGGAUGGAGAAAUAACCAAAAACUCCUAAGAUUGCUUUGAAGUCUUGUUUUUAGGUCUGUUUUCAUUCCCCAGAUAUUUAAAACUGUGGACAGGGAGAGAGGAGACUGGUAGAAACAUAAGGGGUGGUGUUGGUCCUUGAUUUCAGAACCUGACCUAACUGGCUUUGAUCUCUGCGAGCAAACCUGCUUCCUGGGCGCGCGCAGGCGCGGCUGCCGCCCGGCGCACUCCAGCUUGCUGGCGCACUCCAGCUUGCUGGCGCACUCCAGCUUGCUGCCGCGCAGUUGGAAGCUACAAGUGUGAUGCCACUUCAGCUUUGUAGUUUGCCCUUUUAAUUCUGUCUGUUGCUAUGGUAGCGGCAGAUGAUUGCAAUCACUGCUGUUUAUGUUACAAUCUGAGUCACAUCAAUGGAGAGCUUGGAACCUAAACAAUAAAAAUCUGACUGAACUGUAUACUGCAUUUGUUGUUGUACAUAACCCAUUGUUCACAAUAAUCAGAAUUCAUUCAAAUAUUUUGUUUCUGAAACAUUUGGAAAAUUCCUUUAACUAAAGGGUUGUCAAAUUAUAAUUUAUUUUCAAUUCAUACUUACCCAGGGCUCUUCAUACAGCUGAACAAUAUUUCUUUUGCCCCGUUUCCUGAGUAUAUCCUUGAAAACAAUUAUUUUAACAGCCUUUCUAGUUUCAAAGAAAGGUUACUCUUUUUUACCUUGUACCAGUCAUAGUAGUCUUCUAGUAUCUAAAAUAAUAGGUCUUUAAAAAGAUAAUUCAGUACUUUCUCCCACACUUUGUCUGUCUCGUCAAUUUAGGUUACACAGGCUUUUUGAGGAAGGGCUGUGUGUUGUGCUUGUAUAAAGGAACUUUGUGAGCUACAGCAUUAACAGACUGUAGCGUCAGUUUUUGGUUGUUGAACAUCACCUGCUGAGCUUCGGAGAAGUUGAGAGCGAGGGAGGAGAGAGGAAGCCGGUCCGGCGCCCUGAGGGGCCUGGCGACGGUCGUGUCCCCUGCCCGCGGGAGCUGCCGCCACCGCCUCGCUGCGGAGUUCAUUUUGCGGACUGCAGCGCUGCCUUUGGAAGGGAAUUUAUCUAAUAUUGCAGCAAAACAGCGCGAAAUCCUGCGUUCCUGCGGUGUAGGGUCUGUUGGUCCUGGCUCCGGGGGUGAGGCGGGGCCGAGGGUCUCACAGCCGCAGGGUCUCAGGGCCGCCGGUUCGAUUCUCCGCUCCAGCACCUGCCGUGUCUCGGCCCGCAGGGCUGCGGCCGCUGCCCCGGUGCCUGCUGCGCAGACCCCGCACUCCCCGGCGCUGUCGGCGGCUCCGGGACGGCUGGGGCUCAUCUACUGGGGGGUGCACCUUUUCUUACAGAAAGUUGAAUGUAGAUGGUCUAAAUAGGAGGCUAGCAAGGCAAUUUGCUGUUUAAAUGACCCAAUGCACAUCGGGCAUAUUGAAGAAAAAAGCCAUUUCCUAGUGACUAAAUCUCAUUAAAAAAGCAAUUUUCCAAUCAAUUACAAUGCAAUUUAGCUGCUAACUGUUUAAUUAUCAAAAAAGGAGCUAUUUUGUUCUCUGUCCCUAUAUUUAUGAACCAUGCUUUAAAAUCUCAUCUUUAGAGUAGCUGUUUGGAGGGAUAUAACUGCUCUAUUGAUGCAAUUAUAUUAAAGUUAACGUUUUCAGUUCAAUGUAUUGUGUAAGUUCAAGGAAAUAUUGUUUGCACAAAAGCUUCUGAAAUAGGAGAUACAUUGAUUUCUACAAAAGCUCGGAUCUUUAUUAUUUUCAUGUACUAUGAAAAUUGUAUUAUGUAGGUUUUAUUAGAGCAGUUUGGUUGUGGGGUUUCUUUAUUUUUUUAUUUUAUUUUACUUUUAAUCCUGUGCAAGAGUUUCCGCCCGGGAACAUAAACUGAAACGGGCCAGGGCUGCUCUUGGAAGGACGGCUUCUGUCUCCGGAGAGACCGACGCGGGCAGGACUCAGACGCGAUCUGUAGGAGCUGGGAUGCUGGUGCCUGGUGGUGACUCCUUGUCCUGGGGUAAACAGCGUGGUGAAGGACGCGCUUUCGGGUCAGUUCUGAGAACAGGAAGACGUUGAAGCGGCAGUGGUGCCAUGUCUUGUCGUUUUUAUUAAAAUCUUGCAAUACUUGAUGUUUCUUCUUAAAGCUCCAGUUUGCAGAGUUAUCUGAGACUUUCAUAAUUCCUUUUUCUAAUGCUGUUUCAAGUCUUUGUAGUUUAAAGGAAUUCUCAAACCCGCAGAUUUUGCAGCCUUCAAGAAUGGAUUAAAAUGAAAAAGGAGGCAAACCUAUUGCUUCCUCACAGCUUCUGCUUUUUAAUCCUCUCUGGGGGUAGAUCCUGAGCGGGUGUAACCCAUGGUGGUACGUGACGCUCUCCCGGGCCUCUGGAAGCACCGGUAGCUGGUGCAGAGGUGGCAGAACUCGUGCUGUAACCCCGGCCCGGCCCCGGCGGGUGCGGGUGCCUGGUGCCGCCGCGCGUGAGCGAGCAGAACGGCUCGUGUAGCUCAUCUCGUGCCUCCUCUGAGCACGGGGAAUGGUGAGGCAAGGGAGCAGGGAGGGCUCUUAAUUAGGACAUAAUUAAAUAGGCAAUGCUCCAAGAUGACAUGGGUAUUAAACAGUUUAAUGGUGAUGGUGACUGGAUGUCUACAUUUUCUUCUUCUUACUCUCACAACUUUUAGAUUAUUGCAGGAAAGUUGUUGCAUAAAACUCCUAAACAGGUCAAGACUCAGGUCACUACGGUGUGGUGUGUAGCGACCGCUUUGCUAACGUCUGCGUGUGAGCAGCUGUAAGUGUGCGUAUAUAAAUAAAACGUGCAAACUCGCGUGUAUCCUCGCGAACUGAAAUGUGUUUUCGAAACAAUCAGUUACCAGCCAAAAUUUCACCAAAAAGCCAUUCUGCUCAAGUGAGUAAUGCAGGAAAUAUUAUUUGCGAUAAUUACAUACCUGAGUUGGAUUUACAAAAACACAAUUACUUUAUACGUAGUUUGGGAUGACUUUGAUAAACUUGCUCAUUUUGUGCUAUCAAUUUAGAGACGACAGGAAUAAUUUGUUUAUUGAAAUUACCAUAAAUAAACAAUGAGACAAGACCUAGAUUUAUGGUUUAAUAUUGUAAUUGGGUUUUCUGAGGAAAAAUAAGUCUUUUGAAAGAGUGAACUUGUAACUGUGUACGCAAAGAAGGUACAGUGUAUUGUAGAUGGCUUAUAAAGUGCCUGUCAGACUGUUUAUGUGGGAAUCGCAUUCAAUGCCAAGCUUACUGGGGAGAUACAAAAUUUAACAAGAUCCAUUGCAAAUUAGGUAAAAAAUUUAUAAAGGCUUCUGUGUAAGCACACGCGGAGCCGAGGCGGGAGGCGCAGUACGCUGCAGCCCGGCUGCUGAAGGGCUGGUUCCAGGCACGCGUGUGCGCACGUGUCCCUGGCACCCGUGUUCCACGCGGGGUCACAGCGCAGCGGCUGGCGCCAAAAAGGGUGUUUCAGAGGCCCUGCGCAGCGGAGUGGCCGGGGGACGGCGCAGCCCGCGGUGCGGGGCUGUUGGUGACGCUGUCCUGUCCCGUGCUGGUGCUCUGGCUGCGUGGGGCCUUUGCCAUGGCCACGCGCUGCUGGGCACAUGGCAGCGCUGCCAAACGGCCCGGGGACCCGGCUGUCGCUGAGCGGCCUUAUCAACGGCAUGGCUGCUGCUGGCACAGCUGCUUGCAGCUCCGUGCCCCGGUCCUCUGAGUCACCCCCUCACCCACGUUGUUAUUAGGAAUAUGUCAUCUUUGGAGAGGUUAUUAUUCGCAGUAAUUGCAGAGGGCAGUGUGUCAGACAUCAGUUUCGGCUAGUUCCCAUCUCCUGUCACCUACUGCUGCCCCUUAGAAAAGAGGUCUUGCCGAGGACAAAUUGAGUGGCCUUGCAGGUUAUUUGUGCUGUUUUGGGAGGACUUUGUGAAUGUGAAAAAUGGAGCCUCCACAUCCCUGCGGAUGGGAACGACUGAGCAGCUGCUUUGGGGCGUUGAUGACACCAAGUUCCCGGGCUCCUCACCGGAGCCUGCGGAGGUGCUGGAUGGGUACAGGGUCUGGCUUCAGCUCUUACUCUCCUCUGCCAUGAGCCACUUUUCUUGCAGUCAGGUCUUACAGUAUUUUCAAAGCUUUCAGUGUGCAGAGACUUGCCAAAUAGAUUUUUCAAAGUUGCCUCGUGCUACCUAAGAGCUGUUGAUUUCAGAGCAGGUGUGUUGGAGAGGAGGGCCUGCGCAGGACAGGGGGCUGUGGUGGCGUGGACACAUGCAGGCGCAUCGUGAGAAGCGCCAGAGGCCAGGAACGCGUUGCAAAGAGCGAGUUUUAUUGCAGUCCCCUCUCUCCCGGGGAUCUCACAAGCACCUGGGCCACCUUCGCUGUCUGAGGAGCAACCCGCGGGAGGAUGGGCCGUGCCAGGUGCCGUUCUCGCGCGCAGCCCGGUCCUGAGCACCCGGCGCUUCAGAGCUUCACUGCGGAGGGAAGAGUCAGCAAAAAGGACUUUGAGAAUGUCCUUUAAACUGGGGGGGAUCUGCUGAGAACAAAUCCCUGCCAAACUUUAUAACCUUUCUUGGCAGCUGAACAACAGCUGUUACAGUCUAGUGGUUACUGGAUAUUACAAACGUUAUUUCCAAACACUUGGCUAGCACCUGGGGAGAAAAUAUAUGCCUUGUGGUUGAGUAGCAUCUGAGUGCUUCCUUUCAGAGGAUGUACGGCUCUAGUGUAAUGAAUACAGCAAUCAUCAGGUGCUGGGAGAAAAGGACAAAUAUUGUCAUGAUUAAACUGUGAAGGUUAAAUGAAUCAUUUGAGAGGGCUGUGGUGUACUGACAUUAGACCUACUGGGGAACACAGAGGGAGGAAAAUGCCUUUCUCUGUGUUGUUGGUAGUGUUUUCUAUCCCAAAUAGAAGGCCUGUUUUAUGUAUUUUGGUACCCCUUACAAUGAAAAUGCUGCUGUUAUGCGUGUGUUCCUCCUUUAAAACUCCCUCAGCCCGAUGAACCGCCCCAUAGCUCCUACCGGUGCCGUGGGCGCAGCGCGCAGCGUGGCUCGGGUGUCCGGGAAGCCCAGCGGCCCACGGGGCGGAGGACACAGGCCCUUCCUCUGCAAGGGAGGCACCUAGGCUGCACCUAGGAAACGUCCCUGCCGGGGUCGCAGAACAGUGUCACCUGAAGGCGUAAUCUAUUUAAUCUGUUUGUCUUAUUGUGUUGCCAUUCAGCCCACAUAUUCAGUAUAUACUGAUAUUUCAGGCUGCAGUUUUGGCUUCCAUUUGAAUUAAAAAUAUUGUCUCUACCUUGCCAGUGAAGAAGUGCAGAAAAGCUCAUAUUGGCUAGCAAGGAGAGUUUUAUUUCAGAUGUGCAAGAAAGAAGGAAGACGCUCUGUAGUGGCUUGGUGUUGGGUACUUUUAUUCUUUUGUAGCUCCUUUGCAUUUGUUCACAGAAGCUGAAAACGUAAGCAAUCCCUUUCUCUGUCUGCGUGAAGACUGUGCCGUGUUUAUGGUUUGGAUUUCUAAUGUGUCCUCCAUCACUAUCUGCUGGGUUACUUUGGGCAAAGCAUUUUCCUGCCCAUUCCCCAGCUGCAAAAUGGAGAUACUGAAGCUGUUCAGAGCUUAGGGACGUGCGAGUGGAAAGCAAUGUAAAAGAACAGCAUCUUGUGACAUGUAAGGUUUCACCACAUCAUGCACUAAGGGAAACGGAACUACUAAGUGUUGUUUCUUUUCAGCAGAUUUCUCUGAGUUCGUGCUUGUCUUUAACAGAGGAAGUGGCUGUUUCACAAGCCUGAGCUGCACUGCAGUGCACAGCUGUGCCUCUGAGAACUAACUGGAUUUGGUACUUACCUUCCUCUUUAAGGCUUUAGAGUUAUUGUCCCAGACAUAGACCAUUGUGGGGGAAACGAUUUUUAAGCAGACUUAAUCAGAUCUUAAUUUCACCUGCUUGCAUUAAAAAUUGUUUCACUGAUCAUACCUUGAGGUAAAUAUGGCAAAAUCAGCUCUUAAUUCUCAGUUACGCUGCUGUCAGCAGCAGAACUCUGAAGCUUGUCUCUCAUGCCCUAAGGAAAACUCUGUUUGCUGUACCAUGUUCAGAGCGGGGGGGGAAAUCAUCUAUUUUCUGGGAUUGCUGGCCCACGGAUGCGUUCCAGACUAUGCUUGAAAGGAGAACCACUGAGGCUCUGGCUGGUUUUCAGUCUGCACUUCAUUUUCUUCUGUCAACUGGCUGCCUGCUGGGUUGCAAACUGUAAUCUUCAAAUUAGCUGGAAAACAACAUCACCAGCCCCCUAAAACAACAAAAAACGGCAUGGAGGUUCCUGCAGGCUCUGCAUUUUCUGUAGCUCAGGCCUGUCGUUUGGAGUCCAGGGUCCACCCUGCGCGGUUCCCCGCUCUGAGCCGUCUCGGUGUCUGCCGGCGCGCUCCGGCAGCUGCCGCAGGGGCAGGGCGCUGUUCGAUGGGCUCUUGCGCAGACAAGCACCCUCCUCUCAUUCCCUCUUUUAGGUUUUGAACAAACUUGGACAUUGCUCUCAACAUUUUUGCUGUUCUCAGUUUGAGGUCACAGUUAUAAACCCAGUGCAAUCUUUCUUUCCUUCAUGUAUUCAUUUUGUUCUAUGUGGAAGAUGUUAAAAAAUUGCUCAAAGAUGUUAGCUCAAGCUACGAUAAUUUAUGAGGGGCUUUAUGCUUGUAUUUUCUUAAACUAGUCUCCUUUUUUGGCAGCUGAUAAGCAGGAAUUAGCAAGGCUGGUGUGCAACCCUUGCACAGGUUCCAGGCACGUUGCUGAUUUUUUUAUUAUUAAAUUUUGCGCACGAAUGAAUGAUCAUCACUGUUAUUUUCAGGCCAGCCCUUGAUAGCCUGCAGCUGUAUGUUGGUGUGUUCGAGAUGUUACUGACGGUGGGAGCUGAAAUCCCGAGCAGCAGUGAACGCCGUGCUGCAGCCGGGCGGCACCUCCGCCACACGUGUGUCCUUGCACAUCUGUGUGCCGGGUUACUGCUCAAGUGCUGCAGCAAGUCCUUGGCCCCUAUAGUCGUGGGGUUUCAGUGCAGAAGUCCCAUCAGCCUUAGCUGCAGGUGAGCGAUGUCCGGGAGAGCGUUACAGCCCGGAGCCCCUGUGCUCCCAUCGCGUCGUGGGCUGGUCCUCGUGCUGGUGCCGUGUGGUGAGAACCGCUGGGAACGAGCCCAUGGGGCACCAGCCUUGCUUGUGCGGCUGCGUCACAGCAUUGUGUGGGGCCCUUUGAAAUGAUCAUCUGCAAUCAGAAGGCAAGCAUGGCAGGCAGGGGAGCGCAAAAUCCAAGGAACUGCAUUUUGAAAGCUUCUGGCCAUCUAUGCAACUGAUAGAAGUUGAUUGCGGUGGGGCUUGGUUCACUAGCCUCAGCUGAAAAUCUGGCUCUGAGUAUUUUAGUGUUCUUCUUUACCCAGAAAAUGCAAGAAGACUUUUUAAAAAAUAAAACAUCAAAGAGCCAAGUUUUUCUUAUAGCUUUGCUAUGACAUUUCAUAAAGCAGAUAAUUGUAGAGGAGAUAAAAACUCCUGGCAUUUUCGAGCAGAGAUAGAGGAGAUAAUUUGCAUAUAGGUUGAGAAAUACCAAUGUUAAUUGUUUAGUUUUUCCACUGACGUGCUUAAAUAACAUUCAGUUGAAUCCAGAAACAAAGCUGCAAACAUGAAGGACAGAGCUGAUUGCUGCUGCAGGUUCAACCAAACCAACCUGUGUAAGCUCAUCUGGGUGUUCCGGCUCCGGGGGUUGGACUGGAGCAGCUGCCCAGGUCCCUUCCAGCCCUGACAUCCGGGGUUCCUUGACCAUGGCCUCUGGAAUUUGGCCCGGUAUAAAUAUCCCUACUGGAUUUUUUUUAAUGAUGCAUUUUGGAAAAAUUAAAGCAGUUAUGCCACCAAUUUUGUAGAGACAAUCAGACCUUCUCAAGAUGCCUCUGAUUUUUCUGUCAAAAGAAAUGUCUGUGUUGAAGCUAACAAGGAAAUAGAGAGGAAAGGAAAUCUGUGCCUGCAAGCACAGCGUAAGUGAUAAGAGAUGUCAAGAGGAUGGGACCAGACUCCGCUCAGUGGUGCCCAACGGUAGGAUGGGACUGAAACACAGGACGUUCCAUGUGAAUAUGAGGAAAAGCUUCUUUACUCUGAGGGUGCCAGAGCCUGGCCCAGGCUGCCCCGCGCGGCUGUGCAGUCUCCCUGGAGACAUUCAGGCCGCCUGGGCCGACCCUGUGCCGUCGGCUCUGUGACCCUGUGCGCAGGGCUUGGAGCGGGUGGUCUCCAGAGGUCCCCUCAACCCCAGCCAUUCCGGGGUUCUGAGAUAAACCAUCGGGGAAACGGUGCCCGCGGCAGCUCCGAGCCCUGCUGUCCCCGGCGGGCGCUGGGUGGUCUCCGCAGCGCGGCCCUCGGGCGCCCGCCAGGAGAGCAGCGCGAGCCGGGGAUCCGGCUGCUCGGGGCCGCGCUGCCUUUCAAUAUGUUCUCCCGUAUGUUUUAACGCUUUUGCAUUUCUUCCAUCUGUUUCUGGGAAACAUGAAGGAAUUUAAUGAUCUUUUCUAGGGUUGUUAAACCAACAGCUGUUGUCAUUAAUAGAGGACAUUCUUUAUGGCAGUGUGCAAAUUCCAGUGAUAAAUCCAGCCCGGCUACCCUGUAUUUCUUUUUAAUGAAUACAGCAUUUGUACUGAAACUGAGGUUACAAGUAUACGGAGUUCUUUAACUAUUAUUUUAGGAUAGAGCUUUUUUUUUCGUCCUCUUGUUCCUAAUUGCCUUUUCCAUGAAAUACCUUUCGUGCUGAGUGAAAGAGAAUUUUGCUUGUUUCCAUUUUCGCUCCUCCUCCCCUCUGCGCUCCCUGCCAAGAGAGAAACUGGAGCAAAGUUGCUCGGAAGAAUGGAAUAGAUCCCAGUUGGAUAACCUGUUGUGAUGAAGUUCAUUUGCAGAAAGAAAUGAUCUUUUUCUGUUCACUUUAAAGGUUCCUCUGGCCUGCAAAAUCGAUGGUGACUUUUGUUGUAUUUGGAGCAGAUUUUUUGCCUUCAGUGACUUACUGCCCUGAGUUGUAAUGAAGACCAUAAACAUCUGCUUGGAUACACUUUAUGUCUAAUUACAGGCUAUCCUGUUUUUCAAUACUUUCACUUAAUACUGUAUAGUAAAGAGGGUUUUGUGCUGCAUCACUCUAUUUUUCCUACUUUUUUCUUUUUUUUUAAAUAGUAACAUAACCCAACAUAAUAAUUACAACUUUGACCUCAGUGAAGUGCACAAUGUAAGGUACUGAUAUUUAUGUACUUGGACAGUGGCCUCAUAUCGACCAAUGUCAGUAACUAGUCUCAGAAGGGUUCGAGAGCUGCCGGAGCCCUGUGGGCCAUCUGGACCCCUGUGGGCCAUCUGGACCCCUGUGGGCCAUCCCGAGCCCUGCGGGCGGCCCGGAGCCCCGCGGCUCCAUUCCAGGCUCGUGCGGCGCAGUGAGGUGCGGUGUGCUGACAUCAGACUCCAAACUAGAUGUGAUUUGAACUUAGUUGUAUGUAAACAGCCAGGAGACUUCUGAUGAAUUUCAUUUAGGAGUAAUCACUGCAUUUGUGUCAGUAAUAAAUGAAAAUGAGAUGAAAAUGCUUUUCUGUUGUCUUUGGUGACUUAUUCAUCCUGCACCUUAAAAAAAAAAAAGCACACAACAAAGUAGUUUUUCAUCUUGACUGAAAUGCAUUUUAAAAUUAAUUGUUUUACUGGCUUGAAAGCUUCAUAAAUUGGAUUAGAAUCCCAUAUAUUUACCAGCCUCGGGUAACGGGUGAUCUGGCCUGCUUGUUAUCUUUCUAAUGAUUUUCUCACCUGGCGUUUUAAUUAAAAUAAUCCCUGCGCUGGCGUCGCCGGCAGAGGUGGGCAGGAGCAGAAACCUGCUCUCUGCCGGGGGAGAUGAUUUGGGCUUAAAUUACCAAUUUAAGGGGGAUUUACCAAACCUGCACAAAACACAGAUAUUGGAACCUGAAUUAAUUAGCAUGGAAAUGACUGAGCAUGGUUAAAUGUAUGUGUCUUGUUGUAUUCAGCGUUGCGACCAUGAGAGGAAAGAAUAAGAAAUGAAAAAGGUGGGAUAAAACAAGCAAGAACAGGAAGAGAAAAUACAGCUGUUUCUUAAUAUGCAGUAGUCCUUUCAAAAAACCUGCAGACCAUGCUAAUGACUCAUAAGUAGUUUCAUUGUGGGAUAUGUAUGUCCAAGGGCUUCUGGCUGCAGGGAGGUAACUGACAAACGAUUCUGUGUCUAUCUAAGGGCUUUGUGCUGUCAGUUGGCACUGCAGUAUGUGCCUUCCUUGGGAAAUGGAAUGCAAUAACUGAAACUUAGGGGUCUUCACAGAUUGUUUGGUGUAUAUAUGUAUUUUUUAAUUGCUUUUUUGAGCCAAAACUCUGUUAAAAGCAGCAAUCCUUUUCCCAAAGAGCAGGUGCUCAGAUACUAUGAUUGCGAACAUCCUAUAACUUUGUGGAUGUAUGGAUAGUGGGACAGAUGUACAGUGACACAGAUAGAUGGAUUAAACACUUGACAUUCACCUCUGCAGAGAGAGAUCCUGGUUUGAAAUAUAAAGUGGAACUGAAAUAGAAGUAGAGCUUUUGUGGAAUUUCAGCCCUGGUGUGCACAGGUACUUUGAACAAAAAUAUUAGCGACUUUUUGACAAGCUGGAUUUGCAGUUUUGUUCUUUUCAAAGGAGAGAGAAAGCAAAAGGAAAAAUGCAGCUUGUCUUUAAAGUGCAGCAAGAGCUCUGCAUCAUUUAUUCCUUGCAGCAUUUCCCCUUAAAAAGAACAGGAUUAGACCAAAACAUGCAUCUUUUCUUGUCUAUUAAGCUGGGAAGAUCCUGCUAAUUUAGAGUUCCCAGUUAACCCUUAGCCUGGUCUGUGUUUGCCAGAGCCAGGGGCAUUAAUUGCCCCAAGCAGCAACAUCUGCACAGUCCUCACAGAAGCGGCUCCGUAGGUACAGCCACAUCCAGCCCGGUCCCUGACUCGCCCUGGUGACGCCUGGGCUGCCAGUGGCACCUGUGCCUGUCCGCCCUGCCUGCUGAGGGACCGUGUCCCGCGGUGCCGCCGCUCCCCAGCCUGCGCCGCGGGAACCCGGCCCCUGCUGCCCUCCCUGGGGGCGGCCGCGCUCCUGCUGGUGCCCCAAAUGCUCACAGUGCUCCCCUCUUGAGAGCUAGGCUUAAUCUGCAGUGUUGUCACCGUUCUGUGGAAAAGGUGCGUAAGAUUCACUGCAUUUCAGAAAUGAAUCCAUCCUGAAAGGGAAGAUUGCAUUUGAAAUAUAUCUGGGCUUGGUAAUGUUUUAAGUGUAAUCCCUCUAGCAUUUUUCACUUUCAAGGUGACAGUAAUUGAAAGAUGGAUUCCUGCAGUUUUGGCAUUCAUAAUUUGACUGAGAAAAGGUCAACUUCUUCAUGGAGUCUUGUUUAAACUGGUAGAACAGCAUGGAAAUGUCACAUUGUCUUUCUGAUAGUGUCACCGGUGUUUUGAUUAACAACAGGUUCAAUCUGUAAUGCAGAAUAAAACCCAAAUGCCACAAAUAGCUCAACAAGAGCCUAGUCCAAAGUGCUUGAGACAUCAAUAGAAAGAUUUCCCUUGGUUCCACUAGUUUGGGAUCUGCUCUAACUGUUCCUUUCUCCAGGGUAACUGACAAUUUCGAUUCACCAGUAAGCAGACAAAAAGCUCUCGGAGUUCGUGAUUGCAAAUCUCCCUAAGUUUGCAAAGCAGAAAAAUGUAGACCCAGGAUAUAUGUCCUGCAUAUAGCAUAAUGCAUAGCAAUGAAGCAGUUUAGAAGAAAGUAAGCAAAUUAAUGGUGCAUAAUGCACUUCUGACAUCUGGGUUAUUGCUGCUUUGCUGUGUUUGGGGGCAGUAAGCAAUGUGACUGUCCUACUGUAUGUAGGUUUGUUAUGCAAAGUCAGGGGGCAGCGAAGCGCCUCUUCUCCUCUGUCACAGCAUCCCUAUGACAGCCUUGAUGGAGGCAGGAGCCGACACUUGUGGUUUGCUUUUCAGGAAGCAGCUUUCCUUUUCUGGUGCCAGAGAAGUGGACUUGUUUUAGGUAAACCUGCAGCUUGGAAUCUUGCUGUGAAAACAGCCUUGCCAGCUGCUUCCCCUCGUGAAGUGCUGUGAGGUAUUUCUAUGUGUAUUACAGUUGUAACAGCACCAGCUUUUGCAGGGAAUCGACUGUGAUAAGCAAACCUUCUUUAAAGCUAAUCAGCUGAAUUGCUGUUUGCCUGGUAGGCUGAUUGUGACAAGCAGAAGGACCACUGAAGAUGUCACUGCUACUGGAGCAAAAUGCCUCUGGUGACGUUAAGAUGCAGUGGUAGGACAGCUGACAGGCUGGGGUGCGUGGGUCCCCUGCUGUGACAGCGUUUUCACGUGUGCAAAAUGAGUGUGGCAAUCCUACCUGCUGGGAGCCUGGCAUCCCUCUGCACCGGGUGGAAAAGAACAGGUUAGGCCAUGGACCAUGGCACAGUUGGGCAUUAGGUCCUGAUCUUGGCAAGAAUAGAGAGAAAAAUAAACCGUGUGGAAGAGAUCACACAGGAGAAUAACGGCCUGGGUUGCUAUUUUGAGUUUAAACAAGGAUUUGCAUUAUUUGUGCUCUGAAGGCUGCUGGGGGAGCGGUGUGCCGAGCAAUUGUUCCUGUCCGGAUUGCUGGCCUGAACUGCAGCAGCGCACUGACCUCAGGUGCCUCAGCCCCGUGAGCAGGGCUGCGUGAAACAGGACAGCAGCACAGCCGUCUGCUAGAAAGGUUGAUUUAUGCAUCGAGGCCAGAGUAAUACACAGCCACUGCAGUCAUUUUGUCAUUACAAGAUAUUUAUACAGAUUUCCAAAGGCAGAAAAGUAUAAAGUGCUGUGGAAAGUAUGGGGAAACAAGGCCCAGACUGGUCGCACUGCGCAAGCCCAUGCCCGCACAGCUGGUCCCGACAGCCGAACUCAGCCCCUCUGCCUCUCUUCGGCGCUGGCGGUCCCCGCUCCUGGGCAGCAGAGGAAGGGCCCGGGGUGUGCUGGGCGGAGAGAAGGAAGGGCCCGGGGUGUGCUGGGCAGAGAGGAGGGGAGGGCCCGGGGUGUGCUGGGCAGCAGAGGAAGGGCCCGGGGUGUGCUGGGCGGAGAGAAGGGCGCGGGGUGUGCUGGGCAGAGAGGAAGGGCCCGGGGCGCGCUGGGCGGAGAGAAGGGGAAGGGCCCUUGGGGGCUUGGGCAGGGCGCGGGCGGGCCCACUGCCCCUCGGCGCGCUGCGGGGCCCUGGGCAGACAACAGCCCUUUGUGUGUAGCGGGGGGGUACGUCGUUACCUGGAGUGGCGUUGCUGGUGCCCUGCUAAGCGAAACUCCAUGCUAUGCGCUUGUGCUUUGCUGCCUGCAGCUGCGUUCCAGGCCCGCGAUCUGUACCAGGACUCUAGAAGAGCCGCCAAAGCAGCUGAAGGUAAAUGAGAAGACUGCAAGCAGGUUUCAGCAGUGAGAAAUAAGGACCCGUCAUGUUUUCUGCUGUCGAAUUAACAACUCGGAGCAAAGAAUUCUGUCCGCUGGUGCUUCAUUGUUUGGGUGCUUUCUGUAGGAACUGUAUUUGCAAACAAAGGAAAAAGACAAGACUAAAAGGAUAAAGAGAGUGAAGACGAGUUCCGCAGCAGCUGUAGCACCAGGAUCGCAGGAUGUGAUAUAUAGUGCUCAAAUAUAUUCCUAUAGCUGCAGGACACAGGACAUUUCGCACUGAUGGCUGGAAGCAGCUCUGACCCUUCUCUGCCAAAGCAAAACUACGUCAUUUUUCAUGGAGGGAAGAGGCCAACAGCCAUUUCCAGCAUAGUCCCAGCUUCCAGAGACGAUGUCCAUAUCCUCCUCUCCAAAGCGCCUGGUUAUCAGAAGAUAGGCGGCAGUAACUCCUCACGUGCUGGAGCAGAGGGCCCGUGGAAGCCCGUUUCUGGUGGCGCUGGCCACACGGAGACACUGGUCCCGCGGCCGGGUCUCCUCCCAGCGCUGCAGCUCAUCCCAGAGCUGCCUCGUGACUCGGACACAAGGAGCUGAUCCGUGGGACGCGGGUGCGACUGCGGUCUCCGGGGGGAAAGGAGCUUUCCCGCCGCACCAGCUCUGCCUCUCACCUCGCUGAGCAGACCCGUCUCAUCGUGAGGUGAAGCAAACGCAUUCCAGCAGGCUUGGAGCUUUGUCACUGAGGGCCAGGGAGCUCCUGGGGCUGCGGCUUUUGAGUAACGUGGUCCAGCUCUUCCGCAAAUCUUCAGGUGAAGACAGUAACUCCAGCUGGGUGCCCUGCGAGCCGUGGCCGCGGAGCACGGACACCGGGAUACACGGAGCGCCGUCGCUCCUUCGUGGCGGCAGCGUGUGACAGGGACGUGGCCACGUCCUCGGCGGAGCCUCCCGCAUGGCGCCUCGUCCCUCACCAGCGCGGCACGGCCAGGGACGCGCGGCAGCAGGUUAUAAACCGCGUGUCUGGCGUUGGGGGAGCAGGUAACAGGUCUUGGGCACCCACAGUGUGCUGCAGCAGCACCUCUCCAGGCUGCGUUUUCAGGCAACCAUCAGCGUCCAUCCGAUCGAGCCAGAUCUCCGAAGGAUUUCAGCAUGCAGCACAUACCUGCUAUUUCACAUUCUGUUACAGAUUGGGCUAUUUAUAUCGCCGCUUUCACAGGAGCUGAAUUCGGCAGUGACUCCUUAUGUCUGGCCCCAGACAUUUACUCAGCAAAGCACACUUAGAAAUGAAACAAAUGCUAUUUUACAGCCCAGUCUGGCGAACACUCAGCAGCCAGUUUGGUACUCAUCACUAGGAUUAUCCUAAGUGCCUUCAAGAUCACUUCUGAGUGAGCUUUAUUUAUAUAUUGUGAAUAACUGUGUGCGUCCAGGCCAGGCGCAGUCCCCCGCUCUCGCUGCAGAGAGGAGAGGCAGGAGCAACCGCGCUGUCUCUGACCUGCUUUGAAAGCCUCAAGUGCUCCACAAGGAAGGUCACACAAAGCAUUUCUGUACAUUGAUCCUUUGAAUGGCAUUUAGAAUUAACCAGCUGCCUUACAGACUUUUAUUACAAUAGCAGAGUCGGUGCUGGAAGUUUUGCUCCCACGUGGUUUGUAGCUCUAGCGCUAUGGAGACGUUUAAGAGCGCAGGAGCUGCUGCAGAGAAUUACGGUGACGUUCUCUGAGGCCUCUCUGCUGUGAUUCUGCCGCCUCCCGUGGUGGGGAACGACCCGCUGCCGUUCUGCUCCCGGCGCCGCCGUGUGCUGCGCCCGUGCCGCGUCCCAGCACCGCUGACGUCCCAGCCCAUCCGAGACGAAGUCUGCACCCGAAUAUUUUGUUCUUGAGACGUAGCAGCCAAAAACAUGUAGAACCUCGGCCAUCGCGGGUGGAGCGGCAGGUCCCACCAGCGCCUUGUCCCCGAGGAGCAGGUGAGUGACAGUGGCACACGCAGAGACGGGCUGGGGAAGCAGGGGGAAGUUAGAUGGAAUGUGGGUGGUCAGAGACAGACGGACACUGUGCGUGUGUGUGUGUGUGUGUGUGUGUGUGUGUGUGUGUGUGUGUGUGUCCACGGGGGCCGCUCCUGUAUGUUCACGUGUAGGGACAGUAUUUGUGCUCUGGGGACGGACCCUGAGUGUGCACGUGUGUGCGAAAUACAGAGCAGGGAGCACAUGGAAUAUGUGCAGCAGACAGUACAGCUCAUGAUGUGACGAGGGGAAAGAAACAGGGAGUGUAAAUCUAGUGAUGGGUUGGGUUUAUGUAUUUAUAGUAUGUGCACUCUAAUGUGUGUUUAGGUAUAGUGUGUCUGUUUAUAUCUUAUCCGUGGAUAUUAUGUGUGUGUAUGUAUAAUCUAUAUCUGUAAAUCAUAUAUGUUAUAUAUGCUGUGUAUUGUAUAUUUAUAGUGUAUAUAUACAUGGGUGUAUGUAUAUAUAAAUAUAUAGGUAGAAAAAUAGCAUGAGAAUAUGCAACUGUAUAUAUAUAUACACAUAUAUAUAUAGUAGUAUAUAUACAUAUAUAUGUAUUGUGUGUACUUAUGUAUUUAUAGUGUAUACAUAGUAUGUGGUUUUAUCUACAUACAUAGUGCAUGAAAGCCAGCCAGAGUACAUGCACAUGUAUAUACACACAUACAGAUACAUAGGGUGUGUGUACAGAGUGUAUAGUGUGCACAUAUCAUCACCCUCAGCAUGUGACGGCAUGCAUUUGUCUCUCUGUGUGCAUCCCCUCUAUAUAAUACAUAUUAUAUAACACAUAUUAUAUAACAUAUAGUAUGUAAUUAGAUAUUGUAUCUCACUAUAUCCAUAGAAACGUACCCACAACUAUACGGCAUGUGUUAUGUUCCUAGAACGUGUCUGCAUAUGUACACGUAUGUUUUCACACAGACACAUCCGUGUUCCACACAUCGGGGUCAGUGAGGUCACACCCCGCUCGCUGGCAGCCGCGGCCGCGCCGCUGGCCCCGUGUCCCCACAGCCCUCCCCAUGUCCCCACGACCGUCCCCGUGUCCCCACGGCCCUCCCCAUGUCCCCACGACCGUCCCCGUGUCCCCACGGCCCGCCGUGUCCCGCGGUGACAGUGCCGGGCUCGUCUCGGCGGCUCUGGGACGCCGUGGCUGCCGGAACCCGUGUCACCUGUGCGGCGUCGGGCUCGUUAGCGCGGGAUGGUUCGUGUGGGAUCGUUAGCGCGUCCUGUGUGCUGAGUCGCCUCUUUCUGUGCAAAUACCACGGUAAAGAGACGUGACAUUUUCUGGGCCGUUCUGCUGUAUUAAUAAGAUCCCAAGUACAGGGUGACCUUUUCACAAAGGAUUUGUAAAUGCCAGAAACUGCAUAAAAAUCUCUUUCUCCAGCAGACAGAGGCAUCAUAACUUUGCACUUCUUUCUUAAAUGGUGUUUUCCUGCCUUUCCCCUUUGGUUUUUAUCAUCUCUUUUCCCUAAAUGAAAGUAAUGAAAUCUGUACCGACAAGAACAGCCACAAGAGAGAGUGAGAAGCGUCCGGCGCUGGAGCCCCUGGUUUGGUGUAGCGGGCGCUCCCGACGGCCCAGCUCAGCGCGCCCCCGGGCGCUGUGUUGUCACCUGCAUUUCCACAGCAGAGCUGCAUCGGAAUGCUUUAGAAAUUAUUUAAAAACAGAACAGAAAAAAAAGGCAAAAUGUUUUUCAUAAGCUACAGCUUAAAAAGGAAAAAUGGAGGCUGACCGACGCCUUCCCGGCAGCGCUGUUACCAUUCCGACAUUUCCAUCAGCAUCUACGUUUCACUUGUGCAGCGGGAGGCACUACCUCUUGUUCAGCUCACGCUGACUAAAGAGAGUAAUUGGUCCCUGUCCUCUUUAUUAUGUCCCUCUAAGUAUUUGCAAAGAGUUAUCAUGGCUCCCUCCAGUCCUCUUUUCUCAUCGCUUAAAGAUUCCCAAUUCAUUUUACUCUGUCCUCCCUGACCCUCCCUCCCACUCCCGCUUCAUACAUCAAAUAACUAAGCCUAAUUACUUUGAAGACAUAUCAUAUUAGGAUGAGAAUAUUAAGGGGGGAGACGACAAAGUGCGCUGAAAAAGCAAUCGCUCGAAUUCCUGACUGACCACGAGCUCUCCCUGUGGGCCUGGGCGGCUCAGACCUGGGUGUGGGAGCUCUGCGGACCCCGCGUCUCCAUCAGAUGCCACCACACCAGCAGCUGAAGACACGCGAGACAUCACCGGGCAUCACUGACCACCACCGGCUAUCACCGGGCAUUGCUGGGUAUCACUGACCAUUACCGGGUAUCACUGACCAUCGCCAGGUACCACUGGGCAUUACUGGGUAUCGCUGACCAUCACCAGGUAUCACUGACCAUCGCCAGGUAUCACCGGGCGUUGUUGGGUAUCGCUGACCAUCACCAGGUAUCACUGACCAUCGCCAGGUAUCACCAGGCGUUGUUGGGUAUCGCUGACCAUCACCAGGUAUCACUGACCAUCGCCGGUACCACUGGGCAUCGCCAUGCUGCACCGGGACACACAGCACCAUGGAGACGCGGGCAGAGAUGCAGCAUUCCCUCCUGCACCCUGUAACAUUAAGACGGGUUAAUUUGGCUUUACAAAGUGAAAAUGUCAAGCUUCAUUUAUAUGCUGGCACCCAGCGUUAAUUACCUUUCCCUUUUUUAGCAGCCAUUCUUGUGUUCUGUUUCUUCACUUAAGGCUGAUAAUAAGCUGUCCGUCUAUAUAAUCAUUCUGCCGACACAAAUCAUGAUGAAUAUGAAAAGCAAUAAAAAGCAAAUCUAAUGAGACAUUGCUCAGAAUGAGACAAAAAAAUUGCACCACGUUCUUUAAUCAUCAAUGUGCAAAGCCAACCGGAAUAAAUUUGUUUCAAGGAGGCCUCAUUUCUAUUUAAAUGUAAAGUACACUGUGAUGUUUUAAGAACCACAGAAAACUAUGGAGUUCUGAUAAAGUAUUAGCUUUGUAAUGCCAGCCAAAGGAAUAAAGCAUGAACAAAGAGCUCCCCCGACAUUGCGCAGAGGCCGAUGGCUUGUUUAGAUCUUCCAGAGUGAAAUGCAGAAAGCGGUAGAUCCAACAAGGUCUCUGGAAACCUCAGUCACUGCUCCGCAACACAAGGACUCACAAAACUGCAGCAGCACCACCAGCUCUGGUAGAAAAGCCUCAUGCUGACCUGGUGCUGUUGCAAAUAAGAACAUCGUUCCAUAAAAUCGGUGAGAGGUCGUGAGCAGCGUGAGCUGCAGCUCCAGCACCUCCCGGAGCCACUGCAGCAACGGGGCACGGAAAUCGCUGCCCGCAAUGUUCUUCCUUUUCUCCUUUCCGGCCCCCGUCGCCGUUCCCCCACGUUGCACUGGGGAGCUGUACCUCUGUGUGCACCCAUUGCAGAGUGAAACGUAAGACCCAGCUCCACUGAGAUGAUCCAGGUGGUUCAGAGCAAUACACCAAAUGCUGUGAUUCUGAAGUGAGCUUUAUACUGGGAAAAUUAUGAAAUUUAGAGCACCAAUGCUAUUCUUCAGGAACGAAGAGUCAAUUACAGAGCUCGAGGGUACCUGGAAAUAAACGAAGGUGCCAAACUGUGUGCUGGUUGCGCUCCCCCUUCCUCCCCGCAGCCACUUCUGCUUCUCAUGUGCUCCUCAUGCGCCGUUCACACCCAAAUACAGACAAACCGGGCGCGCUGGGAACAGCCCUUUGCCAGCGGAGGGGCGCCCGGAGCCGCGCCCGGGCUGGGGGCACCGGGCACCAGAACAGCCCCGGCUGUGGCGCCGGGAGCUGCGGAGCCCACCCAUCGCCUGCCCCGGCUCCGCAGCAGCUUCACUGAACACCACGUCCCGUGAACCGGCUCCUCCCUUGCCAAAAAUCAGCGUACAAAUCCUGAGAGGUCACAGGAGAAAUCCGCCUGGGGGUUCCUGUUCACCUUCUGGUAGAGAUUGCAGGACGCGCUCAGAUCUCAGUCCUUCCUCUGUUAUGCACCGAUAACAUCAUUAAGAAAACGAACUCCCAGCCCAGUGUCCUCAGAAAGUGGGGCAUUAAUAGGCGUUUUGGAAAAGCGGUGUGAAGAAGGUGAGACUAUGAAUGUCUGCCUUGUGCUCAGGACAACGGGGAAGGGGCAGCAGAUAAAUCACCAGGCACUGAGUAAUUAAACAGUGAGACAUGUGACAGCCAGGAGGAUAACCGGGUUCAAAAGGGAUUCAAUUAAUUGAAAGGAGAAACCUAUCUGUGGCUAUUAAGCUCCUUGGUCCCAAAGCAAAUUCAGGCUCAGGAAGUCUCUAAUCUGCUAAUUACUAUAAACUGGGAGGCUUAUUUGUAGGCACAGAUCACUUGGUACUUGCCCAGUUCCUGCUGCAGACAGAGUACUGGGAACGGGUCUGGAUGCUCUGAUGUGGCCGCCCUUUAGGCUUGUGAGGGCUCGUCUUCCUUGUCUAUUUCUUAAAUUAUUUAGAUGAUAUUUUAUUAUUGUAAUAAAGUAAUUGCACUGGCACAAGCUGAACAUUAACAUUCGCAGUGUGGGUUGAGAAAAAACAUUAUCAUUAAGCCUCCACACUGAAAAUGAUCCUCAGCAACAACUCACAGUGUCACCGCAGAAGUUCCCUCUGCUCCUCCUCCGGCUCUUUUGAACCCGCGUGUCCCCGCUGCAAACACCGACAGACAACAAACCCGCAUUCCCUCCCCAGCAGACACCCGGUCCUUGCAAUUUCAGAUGUGGUUUUGUUCCCUUGUUUUAUCUGCAUGAACAGUUUGAAUGGUUUUAUAAUUUGCCUGUGCUUCCAUUUUAUUACGUCUGCCUUCCAUCUGUUAUGUUUAUGGUUUAUGUUCCCGUUCUCCUCUCACUAACGCCAGUGGCUCUACUGCAAAACUGAUAUUGCAUCCUAGGAACUUAUCACCCCACUCAAAAAAUAUAUCUUGUGCAUGAUGGCAUAAGAACCGCCCGGGGAAGAAUGAAUGGAUCUUUUGUUAAUGAUGUUCCUGUAGAAGAGCCCACGCAGUAGUUGUACCUGCUGCAAAUAUGGUCUCGCUGCACUUUGCCCAAGUCCCAGUGAACGGCACAGAGCCCAUCCAGCAAAUGUAAAGAAGAACCUGGUUACCCGUGAGUGUUCAUCCUUUAGAGGAGGGACGACACCACCUCCUGUGUGUUUGGAGGGUAAACGGCUCACGUGCAGGGAAACCCUUACCCGUGUCCCAGCUCCCGCGCCCGGGCCUUGGCGGCAGCUGCCACGGCUCACGGGCACUUGAGCGCAGCGCCGGCUGCAGGAAUCCGUGCAGCUGAAGAUACCGAUUCCCUUGGCAUCGUCUCCAGUGCUAAACCACCACCCUCAGACGGACAGCAGGUGAGCCCCGCGCCUGGCGCAGUCUUAGGCCAGUUAAAAUUUUCACUGAUUUGUGGUAACACAGUUUUUCUCCUGGUUUUGUAGUUUUCCAAGCACAAGUAUAAUUGGCCCUGGCCUGCUACCAAGAGGUGUAUUAAAACGAUGAGGAAUGAAACUAACGAUUGUUAAGAAGAUCUAAUUGCAAGGAUCCCGAGUUGUUCGUUACACAUUUAUGGCUGCCAACCAGCAGCGCUCAGAUAAGGGCCCGUGGCUUUGUUUAGCUCGCCAGGGCACUCAGAUGUGUCUGGGCACAAGAAUGGGAAGACUGAGGCAGAAAUCAAUACGGGGCUGCUGAACACCCCACUGCGCAGCGGGAAGAGACUAAUUUGAUGAUGAACCUGUGAGUCCAAUAAAAAUGGGCAUAAUUUAAAAUGUAUUAAAAAUAUAAGCUGCCAAAGCAUCAAUAUUUAAACACCAUCCCCUACAGUGUCACCACAGAUUUUGCAGAGGAGCAGAUAUUGUUGAACAUGAAGGUGACAAAAGAUGCAAGAAUAGCCUGAAAUGCUGCUUUGGGAAAGUUGAAUAAAACUGUCUUGGGGCUAAAUUUGCACUCGCAUGUUCUCCCUCUCCCUGUUAAGACUGUUGUGAAACGGGUCCCCAGUCUCCAUGCAGGCCAAGUGACAACAGAGGAACACGGAGCUCAUUUGCAGCCACGCUCAGCCUGGGACCCGCUGUGCGUGCUGGGACAAGCGUCCCGGGCAGGUCCCCGGAGCCCGGGCUGAGUGUUGUUUCAAUGCGGUCAGCGCUGGAACGACCUUUCUCCAGGGACACCCGCUGGGAGCCUGAAGCGGAGGCUGCUCCGACCACCCAGAGCAACAACCACCGUGAACAUCAUCAGGACUGAGCCACAAGUGACCAGAUGGCUCCUGAGUGCCGCUGACGCCCAGCGCGUGCACCAGGUCAGACACCGCCCCAGAGCACCGGCGCUGCUGGAGGGCACUUUCCGCUGCCGAUCCUACAUCACUCGCCACUCACUUCCCAGCAUUGCUCCGUGCCAGGUACUUCAAAGCACCAAGAUCACUGGACGAUGCAAAAGAAAAUCUUCUGCAUGGUCACACCAGGAGACAGGUGUUAUCACCGAGGAGCGUUUGGGGACACGCGAGCUCGAGCGCACGCGGAGCCCGGCAGCGCUGCGGCGAGGAGGCGGGUCUGCGGGGGACCGGGCCACAGCUGAAAACCGACGGCUCCAGAGAACCGGCGUGGAGGGCACAGAGCAGCAGCUCCCACCGCCCCGCCCGACAAAGCCCCUGCCCCAUCCUCCCCGGGACAAACCGAGCGCCCCAGCUCCUGCUGCGACGUCCCUCUGCUCCCAGUGAUGCUGGGCCAAGGCACCGCACACCAAACUGCGCUGCACGGGCUAAUUAGCACUUUAACUAGCUUCCUGCUACAGACAUCCUUGCAGUAGUUAAUCCAGAGGCCAUCUGCUGAGGAUAGUGCAUUUAUCACUGAGAAUCUACCUAUCUGCAUCGUACUAGGCGUGCACAUGCUGAAUCUCAAUCAUCUUCACUUAGACACUCUAUUAUGUAUACCAUGAAAUUUAACAAGGUAUGUCCUAUAUGGGACUGUAACAUUGCAGCUGUGUGGACUAAUUAGAUAAGACUCAUUAUUGUUCAUUCAAUUUGCAUUUGCAGAUGCAGGGAGCUGAGUGCUGCCUGCUCUCAGGCUGAUUGAUUGCUCCCACUUUGCAUUCAUUAGGAAGGUGGCCUCAGCACAGUAGUUUUACAACAUGUGUUUGCUACCACUUAACUGGAUGUGCCAGUCAAACGCCUUGAACUGUGUGUCUUGAUUAACAAUAUUUUGCAAAUACGGCGCGGUCUAUUUGAGCGGCACGGCAGGCGGAUGGCGGAGCCGGCGUGCGGGCGAGCGCCACUCCUGCCAAACCGUCCCCUUCCCGCACAUGGAGGGUCAGAAACCCAGCUGUGGCAGCGCUGGUGGGGUCCAGGAUCAGCCUCCAGACCUGCUCUGAGCAAACACUCCCAUCUUGCUUCAAUUUCCCCUGUGUUUUUAGUAGUUUCUCAGAUGGUGACGCUUUGAGGAGGGAACUUUCUGAGCCUUCCAAGUGGCGGUUGUGCUUCCCGGCUGGAGGAGCGUCAGAGGACACUUGCCCCCGCAGACCCGCUGCACCGCCGGCUCCAGCAUUUAAUCUAAAUGUAAUCCUUCCUCCAACCCAGGCGCUGACGGGCCGCUCAGCCCCCAGGCCUCGUGUUUUAUUUUUCACAACACUGUAAAACAAAACCUGGGAAAUAGCUUUUCCUCACAAUAACCAGGUCUCCAGCAAACAGGAGAGCAAGCAUCCCGCCCAGCACUGCGGUCACCGGGUGUCUGCCGUCCCCAUGGGUGCCACCUCACCAAGGGUGCCACCCCACAGGGGGUGUUGGUCUGGCUGAUUCCAGACCAAGCUGACAAAGCAGCUGCAAGCCGGAGCCUGAUGGACACCAGGCUUGGCCAAAGCAGAGGGAACACCUUUGCUGGUGGCCCGAUGGGGCGGUCAAGAAGCUUCAGCCCUCUGAAGGGAAUUGGGAGGUCACCAACAGAGGUGAUGGACCAGGCUUGCGUUUUGGGGCCAUUUCUGGGAGAAAGGCGCAUUAACAAUAAAUCAAUCUGUGCAGGGGUCUCCUGUGCCGGAGCUGCGGCUCUGCAGGGCAGCGGGGGCGCCCCCAAAGCGCCCGCGCAGCGGGUGACGACGCUGCGGAGGAGCAGGGGACACCGGCUCCCGGGGGAACGCCCCGGCACGGGGUCUGACACCGCGCGCCCAGCCCGGCACUGCCGGCCACAGCACAGCCGAUUCCAGGGGCCUUUCUCAUCCAACGCAGCGUGGCCCGGCUGCUCACACAGGGCAGCUCUGCUGCCAUCGCGCUGGCAGAUGAACUGUUGCUUCAGCUCAUUCCAGUGUGAAACACUGACACUUUCUUCCUUUUUGCAUAUGCAAUACUCACUGGGUAGUUCAGGUCUAUGCAUAACAUAUUUAUUCAACAGUAAUCAUUUCAUUUCUGCAAAGAAAAUAUGCUCCACUACUCCUGCGGCUGACAGGCUCUGGCAGAAGUUGGAAGCUGAAGCUCCAAAAGGAGGGAGAACAUGUUCACAGGCUGAGCCCCAGCUGUUUGCAGCGUUCCUCUGCCCUGGCAAUUAUUUUGAUAGGAAGAACCCCUGGAGGGUUAUUUGGCUUGUGCACACGUGUGCUGUGUUCACAGCCACCAGUCAGGGAGCAGACAAGUGAACCUCCUAAGACAUUUCUGCUUUUGUAAAGCGUUUUUUAAAAGGAAGAGGGUUCAGUUCUGCUCACACACCAGAGGGUGCUUGCUCCCAUGGUAGCGUGGAAAUAGGAUAAUGUAACAGUUCUUCUUCUAACAUUGUUUAUUAGCCUUGAACUGCCCCAAACCUCCCCUCACAGUACAAGAGGAGAUCACCACCCAACUUGAAGAUGCAGAGCAAGGUCAGACCUCUUGAACCUGUUCACAGGGCUCUGUGGUUUCUGCCCGUGUCUGUUGUGCACCGAGUGGUAGAACAGUCUCCGGAGGCCGAGUCUGGGGUCAGGUUUGCUGCGGUGGCACAACAGGGAGCAUUUGCUCCACUGCUGCUUUCAACGGUAAACGAGAAUCCACUUAAAAUUCAGCAGCACCUUGUGUCUUGCUGCUUUGCCUCAGCAAUAAUCACCGUCAGGACCGUCCUCAGACAGCACCGCUUGCUAAAUACACACAAAUCCCUCGCUGAAGGGGAAAGCUCCCUGGGGACCAGCAAUAAUUUAGCCUGCUUGUCAUCCAAGGGCUUCAAAGUACUUUAGAAGUAUUAAUUAAGCCUCACAGCGUGUCUGUAAGAUGGAGGUUUAUCGUUUGCUUGGCGGUGGGCAGCAGCGGGUCCGGGGCUCGGGAGGCGAGGACGGCGACGCUUCAGCUCGGGCGCCGUGGACCUGAGCGCCCGCUGCGCCAGCGCGGGAGGGAGGAACGUUCCCAACGCCUGCGAACGCCCCAGCAGGAGGAAGAGGCGGGUGGUGGCGGUGCAGAGGAAGGCUCCGGUCCCCAGCGCUGCUCCGUGUCCCCAGCCCGUGCCGCUCGGAGCAGCGCUGGCAUCCAGCCCCGUCCUGCGCAGCCAGCGGGAUUUGUUUCAGGUGGCUUCAUGAGAAAAUGAGUAAAUCCCUGCCUGGGUUUUCACUUUUGAAUCAGCUGUCCAAAACAUUAAAUAUAUCAAUUCCUUAUUGCUUUAAAAUGUUAUACUCAUUUUUAUAUCUAGAAAUGCACAUGCUUUUUGUGCACAGGAAAGCUGCCAGCAGUUCAUCCCACCAAUGGGGCUUUAUUCACAAACUUAUGAGUAUGUAAGGCUGAAUAUUCAUUUGGAGGGAUUAAUUUAAGAGAGCUGAUUAGAGAUGAAAUCAGAGAGCAGCUGAAUGCCAUUUGCACAAUGCGGCAUUUGGCACGACUUGGGGCACUGCAGAAACGAACACCUGGACAACACCCGGCGGAACAGCCCGACCAGCAGCUGUGCUGAGGAUGGACGGACAGACUGACGGGUGGAAAUCACCCUCCCUGGAGAUCGGCUCCAGGCUGUCUGUGGUAAACCAUGAGCCUAAACCAGCAGCUGCCAGAUGCCCCCUGUGAGGUUUAUUACUGUUGACAUUUCAGUUGAGGAUGGUCUGUUUUCAAGAGGCUGUCUCCAUCAUUUCUACACAUUAAUAUGCUUGAGAAGUCCACCACUAUGGGCAGAAAUCAAAUGACUCAUCCAAAAAUGGCCCCUCCACCCUGCGAUAACAUGGCUGAGGAAGACAGACUGAAUCCUGUUGCCAUGGGCUUUGCCGGGCAGCCCCCGGUUUAACCACCAGCAGGGUGCUCAUCCGCAGAAUCGUCCGCUCUUCCACUUGGGGCAGAAUCCGGUUUGCAAGUCGUGCACUAUGUGGAGAAAAUCCUCCACUCCCACCCCUCAGAGCGCAAACCACCUCACCCCCGUGCCUGCAGGAGAGCACAACGGGCCCAUUGCCGGCAGGGACAGGCGAGGAGGAAGCCUCCAAAAACCUUACCCAAAAUGCGACCUUCAGCUCACUGUGCGAUGGAAGAACAGAGCUGCAAACACAGCCAGGUUAUGAUCGCGUUUAACGUAAUAUAAAGUCUCACCUCAAGUCCAAACCCAUUUUUGGAUAACAGCUGCAUCUGGCUCUUGACUGUGCUUCAUCCCUCCAAAAGCAUCAGCUCGGGAGGGCUGCAACUCCCGUUCCAGACAAGGGGCUGGAGGGCGGCCACGCGGCUCCGCCGGCACGGGCACGGGGACCUGACCCUCCCGGACCCAGACACUGUCUUUUGGGUUGAAAGUAACGGGAAUCGGUGGCCUAAAUGGAAGUUAAAUGCUUCUGUGGAAAAAAUGCAAGAGAGCAAAGCACGUGUAAACAGCACCUGCCAAAUCACGAUUCAGAAAGAAAAACCUAACAAAUACCCUGUAACUCACAAAGGGGAACAUGGAUAACAGUUUGCUGUCACUAAAUAAUGCUUCUCACAUGCAGAAUGUUGUCUUUUAUCUAGAUGUUUAGAUUAUAACAGAAGUCCAGUGAUUUUUGUCAGUGUCAUUUGUUUCUCUGGAGAGAAUAUUAGAGCUCUGCUAUGACAGAACAUUAAUAACGGGGGAGAUAAAUCCUCCUGAAGCGUUAAUUUUCUAAGCAUUGUGAGAUCUAACAUGCAUCAUCACUAUAUAUCCGUGAGGGAUAAUGUGAGCAGGCACUGUAAACAUCACGCUACGAAUGAAACAACAGAAUUAAAGUGGAAUCUGUUUCUGAAAGAGAUUUACAUUUGGUAACAGGGACGCGGCUUCCGCCGUUUCCAGUAACAACGCGCAGCCGACACGGCUCCCUGCAGCGGCCUCUCAAACAGCCUCCAGCAACCACCACUGAAAACAAGGGCCAGGGCUUCUCGGUGUGAACUGGCCCAGCCCGUGAAUCCAGCGGUCACGGGAAAGGACAGGCAGGAGCACAUGGGGAAAGCAAGUGCAAUUUAGUUAUUGUGGGUGGUUACACGCAAACUCCCCCUUAGUGCGUUGAACGCAGUUCCCGGUGAAGAGGUAACUUGCUCUGCCGGCUCGACUCUGACCUGCAGCCUGGAUGCCCCAGUGAAUAUUUCACUCCCGCCUGAUUCAGGGCGACCAGUUCUCUGGCUGCACUUUCCUCACGCUGUGCUGAGGUUAAGGACGGAAAAGGGCUCAGCCCGUGGAGCGGUGACCUGGGUCCGGGCUCCCCGACCAGAGCAGCGCGAGACACGAGCAGCUCUCCUCCGUCUGUGUUCCGUGAGCCGCACCAUCCACCGUUAGUGAGCGGGGUGAACGCUGCAGGCAGCCGUGCACUAACGUUUCUUAAAUUAAUUAGUCUUGACCAUUUUCUCACUCCUCCUACAUGGGGUUUUCACUCCUGUGACUUUAUCCUAGCAGCCCUGUUUAUUGUCAGUGUAUUCACUGAAGCAGCAAAUUGUACAUGAUUAUUGGCUAUUAUUCACUGAGAGUGAAGUGAUAAAUGAAUUAUUAAUUCUCAUUAUUAGCACUGUUGUCCUGUUGCCUGGAGGCCUCACUGAAAUCAGGACCCCGUUGCUUUAGGUGCCACCGCCGCCCUGCUGCAGCCCCCGACAACGCCACCGCCGCCCUCCCACCUCUUCCAGAGACAGUUCCCUCAAAUCCACCACCUCAUGACCAACACAGCUGAAGUUCUAGAGCCAGAGCUCUGCACCCGCACUAAGGACAUUCAGAGGUUUAUCCCUGCUCAGUGACCAGCUCCAGCGCAGCACGGUUUCUGCUGUCCUGUCGCUACACCAGCGUGUUUCAGGAGCAGUCAGGCUCAGAGCAAUUCAAGGGCUCAGUGCAGGUGACAUUAAAGAGGGUCCCUCUGGGUGCCAGCGGUACCUGGGGGGAGCAGCACUGCCAUGCAGUCCCCGUCCCCAGACAAGGCACAGGCAAGUGUUGACAGGAUGAAACACCCUCAGUCACACCCUCUUCCUUCUUGGGGAGCGCUGCACUAGCCAUUAAUUUUAUUUAAGUUCUUUCUUGUAUGGUGUUGUUGAACUAAAUUGAAUUUGUCCACUGGCAAAUUCCCUAGAAACAAAGCUACAAGCACAUGGAGCCUGUGGGAUCAUCAUCAAUUCAAUCCAUACUCCUCUAGUGAAGUUGUGUCGUGAGACAGGGCUAGAUACAUCACUUAGACUGACAGGAGGAGACCUGAUAAAGGCAGAGUGGAGGAGCACAGUCUCCAAACAACUGUCUGUUUCUCUGGGGAGGGAUGUUACUAGCCCCCAGAAAACUAUUUUAAUUCACAGAUGUCCACAAAUGCCCCAGCAGCAGCCCCUUCUGCCGUGGGUGGGGGAGCCUCCGCCAGCACGCUCCUCCUUCCAAACCCACACCCUGGUCAGUUUUGUUCUGCCUUUCACGCCCAUUGUAAAUGCCCUGGAAGCCGAGCAACUCACAUACAAAUCCCAUUUAAAAAUGUCUUUUAGCCUAGAGCCACACCUGGGGCACAAAUCAGGCAGAUGGAACGCUGCUGGUGACGUUCCCGGUCACCUGUGCCACAGAUCCGCAGGCACCGAGCGCGCAGCUGCCGCAGCCGCGAUACACAGCGAGCGCGGCCGAGGGGCGACGGAGCCGGCGAUGCAGACGGGCACCGCGCACCCGCCGCACGCUCUCAUCAUCGCAUACACUGCUGAUUGAUAGUGGUAAUGAUACUUUAAUCAAUAUUAAUAACACUUAAUAUGAGCACUAAAAGGCCCCAUUAUUUUUGCAGUGUAAAGAGCUAUGAGAAAUAAAUAUCCCAUUCCACAUAGCUUGCUGUCCUACACUCAAAGCAAAAGGUAGGUAAAAUAAGUGGCCAGAAAAACCCAAUCAAAGAAUAAGACAAUAUAAUGAAAGAAGUUUUAGUUCAAACCAGCAUUGAUUCGGUGUUUAGCUGUUCCCCUGCCACCCCCUGCCCCAGGCACCUAUUUCCAGCUCAGCCGUGAUCUUGCUGAACAGACGAGAUGUUUUUAACCUUUCUAGGCAAAGGCUUUGUGCAAUCUGUGCAGUUCCUGCUGAGACAGACAUCAAUUCCACACAGGACAAGUUUGCAUAUUCUAGGAGGCCUGGGUUUUAAUAUCACUAUCUGCAAUCAUAAACAAACUACACUUCUCCACUCCCCAGGGGUAAACUGUAGAAAUCAACGUAUCUGUGCAAUGUGCAAGGGCACUCCAGCCAGCACUGCUGCUCCGGCCGCACACCCUUUGCUGAGGGUCAGCUGGGCUUUUUCUAACGCUAGUCUUCAAACAAAAACAAGACUAAGUAUCUUCUGCACUGCAGCCCUUCGCUGCCUUGCUUCUGUGCCACAGCCAGCUCUGGUUUGCAGCAAGAUGCAGCGUCUCAAGGCACGAACCGCAGUGAGAUGUUGAUGUUCGGCUAGGACAGCAUUUCAGAGCCUGCUGGACUCUGCACCGAAAAGAUGCCCCGAGGUUCCUCACCUAUCGAGUCUGUUGGGUCAUAAGAACACUUCACACCCCGCUGAGAGCACAUCAGUCCUUACCUGACACCCCCACAGUGACCAAACACCAACCACCACUCCGGUGUUUCUGUCACCAACAACCACCUCUUGCAGCUGAAUAGAUCUAUCCACGGUCAUUUAAUUUCUUUGGCAUUUGCUGGUCUGUGGCUCAGAGGCUUGUUUGAACCUCACGUCCAGUACCUGAGCCAGGAACCUGAAACGCUGCAGCUGCGGGGAGAGGGGAGGAACCCCCGGUGGAACCGUCCCUGCGCCCCCAGCGGAACUGUCCCGGCAGAACCGCCCCGGCAGAACCGCCCCUGGUGGAACCAUCCCAGCAGAACUGUCCCAGCAGAACUGCCCCUGCGCCCCUGGCAGAACCGCCCCGGCAGAACCGCCCCUGGUGGAACCAUCCCAGCAGAACUGUCCCUGCAGAACUGCCCCUGCGCCCCUGGCAGAACCGCCCCGGCAGAACCGCCCCUGGUGGAACCAUCCCAGCAAAACUGUCCCGGCAGAACUGCCCCUGCGCCCCUGGCAGAACCGCCCCUGGUGGAACCAUCCCGGCAGAACCGCCCCAGCGCCAACCGCGGUUCACGAGCUGAGCAGCAUGAUGGAUAACUCUGGAAACCCACACACACAAAUAAAAUGAGAAAGGCGCCUUGAAAUACGUUGAGGCAGGAAAAUGAAUGAUCUCUCUGUCAACCAUUUCAAAGCAAUCCAGUAAUGUGAACAAUCAGAAGUGAAGAAAAAUCAAUACACUUCUCAUGGUGCAAAAAUGGAAAACAAGCCGGAUUUUACUCCUGCAAAAUCCAUGCAAACAAACCCCAACAGAUUAAUCCCGCCUGUCAGUGAACGUGGCCAUUUCUUCGGAAACGGAACCACCUCCAGAAGAGCGGCCUCAGAUAAUUCUGUGUUCAGUGACAUCUGGUGUCAAAUCCCGCUGGUGUCAGUGGCACACAACUGAGGCUUUACACAGUAGUUACGAACAAUUGUGUGUUAUUUCCAAUAAAUUUAAUUUGUUAAAUAAAAAACGCACCAGGAAGACAUCAAGCAAGCAAACAGAGGGAGAACGUGCCAAAUUCUGCCCAAUCUCUGCUUCUCUGCCUCAUCUCCAGAAGGUGCAGUGGAGCAAAACCAUCCCCGUUAAAAGCAAAGCAAUGCUACUCUGCUAAACAGACAAUGAGAGGCGUGAUUGGAGUGUCCCAAAGCAGCCAUUUCUAUACCCAAAAUCACAACCGACUUCUGACGGCAGGUGUCAGAGGUGAGCUGGCAUCGAGAGGUUCAAGUACGACAUUUCUGCAGUGACUCAGGUGUGGGUCCUUCCCAGACAGGGCGUGAUGGAAACUGCGUGGGGGGAUCAAAGGGGGCUGGGUUGGGGACAGAGGGUAACGCAGCAGUGCAGUUUGUCACACUGCCCAGCGCUCACAGAGUGACACAAUGUGUCUCACCGGUCUCUGCUCCAUGCGUGCACGAAAAACAGAUCUAUGAGUUUUCCUUUACAAACUUUCCUCGCUAUUGGGCAUGUGAAACACAGCCAGGAACGCCAUGGAAAGUAAAGACCAUGGCCCUGGCUGUGAGACGAUGGGAACUGCCAGACAUUUAGUCAGCUCUUGACACUCAGCCAGACCUUUGUUUGUCAUUUUCAGAAGUACACAAUUGUUCUGUGAUGUCCUCCCUGCAUCUUUCAGUGGCAAACACGACAGGCAGCUCCGCUGGGCACGGGGCCGUCCCGCGCCGGGCUCCUCUGAGCACCGUCACAGCCGGUCACCCGGCAGCACAGGUCAGGAAACCGGGACCUUUCACAGCCCGGGCUGUAUCUCAACAUGGACACCCAGCCCAGAGGGUGCACGUGGCGAGGGCUCUGACCUGAGCAGCAGUCACCACCGGCAGAGGGGACCGUGACCACAGGGACACUCACGGCAGCCUCCACCGGCAGAGGGGACGGUGACCACAGGGACACCCAUCCCCCGGCAGCUCUGGGCAGGGCAGUGGUCCUGUGUGCAAUGUGGGAAGUGAGGGAACGCUGGAAGAAUUGCAAACAAGCCUCAUUUGGUCCUUCUAGUUGGGAAAAAAAAAAAAAAUCUUUGAAAUUGUAGCAUUUGGUAAAGAUGUAAAGGAAACUGUAUUAACACUGUGAAAACAAACCUGCCUUUUUCAGCUCGCCACACGCUGUUGGUGCUGAACUUUGCCCGAGAGCAGCUGUUCUGUUUCAGAGAAGCAGUUUUUGAGGUCUCUUGCAGCACCUCCGACAUUGCAAAAAAAAGGAAGAUCUUCCCAUUUUAGUCAAGCACGUGAGUUCCGAGGCAGAGCGAUGGCGGGUGGCCAGCAGAGCCUGUCUCUGCCGAGGCGAUGCUGCCGCUCCGUGGCCCCCGCGCCGGUGUCCUGAGCCGGCCCCAGCACCACCGAGCCCCGGGGCCUGUGUCCACUCGCUGGUCCUGAGCCGGCCCCAGCACCACCGAGCCCUGGGGCCUGUGUCCACUCGCUGGUCCUGAGCCGGCCCCAGCACCACCGAGCCCCGGGGCCUGUGUCCACUCGCUGGUCCUGAGCCGGCCCCAGCACCACCGAGCCCCGGGGCCUGUGUCCGCUCGCCGGAGCGGAACGCUGCACACCCACCCUCCUCUUCCCUGCCUCCUAUCCUCAAGCAGCAAACUGAGAUUACAGAGAAGACAUCUGAACAAACAGCUUCUCCUGCCUUCCAAAAUAAACUCUAAAGCUCGUCAAAGUAGCUGUAAACACAUCAUUUUCAUAUAGUGCGUAUUAAGGGAUGAACUACAGCAGGGCCACGUAAGGCAUAUCUGGUAACACAGAUCGAGCCAUGGAAGCGCUUCUGCAAACCCCGCGAGUCGCGUCCCGCUGCGGGCAGGACGGCAGGAACGGCUCCGCCGCUCCACGGGGAACAGAGGAGCCCGCUCCAGAGCACCAUCUCCAUGGCGACCGCAGGAGCUUUCCCGGAAAACGCGGGGUUUGGGCACAAGUGAUGCAGGAAAUGAAGCAGCUGCGGAAAAACCUUUUCAAUUAUUCAGCUGGAACAAACAGUCAAAAGCGAUGUUUCUAAACCAAUGGGCAGCAAUAGUAUCCUUCCUGGAAACCUGGAUAAGACACUACGUGCUGAGAGCCGGCUGUGCCACCCGCAGCCAAGACCUGAUCCUGUUUUAAGGUAAAGGGCGUUUGUCCUCAGGCUGACACCACCAGCAGAAAGUGCCCUGACGUUCCCAAGUGCGUGAUUUCCAAACCCCCUUGCUGACCAACGUCACCUCUCCACACACCUCAAUCCUAACAGCAUUCUGAGGCAGAAAAAAUGGCAACACCAUUUCCAGGAGGAAUACAGCCAAACUCAUUAAACUAAUAAAGUAAUGUAAAUAGCACAAUGACUGCUUUUGCAGUAUACAGCACCAAAGUCCGUAAAGCUCAUCUGAAAACUGGUUGCUACCUGUAAGGAUGCCGUGUUACAGCAGUGGAAACCUCGCUGCGAUUAUUAAAGGUGAAAAAUUCUACAGCUAAGUAUAGUUGCCAUUGUACUCAUUGUCCAGCAAUAUCGCAACAAGAAAGCCAUUCUUUUUUCCCUUGAAUUGCUUACACUACUCAUUGCUUUGUCAUUCCCGAUUUUGCAGGAGCGUUCUGCAGAAGCAGCCCUGGCUCAUACCUGGAAAGCAUAAUGCAUAUGAAAAGCACUGCUUAAAUAAGACAACUGAUGCAUGGCAAGAGAAACAUCAAAUUACCACUGAAAUGCUGACAAUGCAAGCAGGUCAGCAUGCACCGGUGAACUGCACCCCUGCACGUGUCGGCCGUCCCCACCUUUGGGGGCUCUGACAGUUUCCAUGAGCUGAUAACUCAGCUGCGCAGCCUGGACACACUUAUCGUGUUUUCUGUGAUAACUUCCACCAGCCGCUGUGGUUUGUGCGAGAGCUCUGCGGGCAACGGGCUGGAAAAGCGCAGCUCACAGCCCCAGCCGCGGUGCCGGGACGGGCCCGGAGCGCCCGCUGCGCACCCGCGCCCCGGGCAGCACAAACACCCGGUGAGUCCGUCCUGAGGGCAGCUCAGCGGAAACCUCAAUAACCGGGAAAGAGGAACCAUCACCUUGUGAAGCUGGAACGGCCGCCGCCCAGCGUUACCCAGUGCCAGCCUGGUCUGUGGAAGCAAGCUGAGGAUUUGCUUUCAUUCCUGUAUUUCCAGUGCCACCUUCUGUUCAGAAGAGGAAACCUCCGUUUCGGGAGCUGCAAGGAACGAGAGUGGCAAGUUCUUGCCCACCCCCGCAGGAACGCAGUACCUACCGAAACUAAAUACUGAAAGAUUUACAUUUGCAGUAGCUCAACAGCAUAUUGAGCUGUGCGCUUCAGACACCCACAUGUGCCAAAAGCUUCUAAUUUUACAAGGAAAGUACAUCAGCUUCAUGUUUUCCAUAAAUCCAUACGGCUUCUGGGAUGACAGGCAAUGGGUCAGAGAAAUCAACAUCAAUUAUUAUUAAAAAAAACCCAAAACUUUGAGACCUUUUCAGCAGGACGAUGUAGAUUAAACCUGCCUUUUCCUCCACACCUGCGCUGGGGCAUUACAAAUUCAUAUCCUGGUUUUAUGCAUUGAAACAGUUGUCACCUCCACAUCACAUCCCAACACUUGGCUUCUGGACUUCGUGAUUAUGCACCUCAGUCUGCUUGUAAAGGCCUCCCGAGUUCGCAAAUAGCUUAACCCAGCCUUUUAACAUACUGCAAGACAAACGCGUUUAUUACAAAGCACGUGUUCUCCCUCCCGUUGAGGGUUACACAUACAUUGCAGGAGCUAAUGACUUCAAAACAGCUUCUCAAAAACAUGGGGUUUUUUAUAUGUACUUCCAUGCCAUCAUUGCUAAACGCCCUCACAGCAACAGUUGUCAGCGAAGCUUUAACACGGCCAUGCCCGUUAAGCCUCACCUCAGCUUUUGGGCAGACAGGGCCCCCUCCCGGCGCUCGCACGGAGCGCGGGCGCUGUGCCGUGAGCUGCCCUCCUGCCGCUAAAGGAGAAGUUUCGGGUUUAGAAAACAAGAGGCUGGUUCCUGUGCGAAAGGGCUACAAGUCAGGGUGAGAACACGAGAGCGGGGCUCCCGGUCCGUCUCCAGACCACAAACCCGCAUUGCUUAACGCGCCGCCCGCAGGGCCCGGUGUUACCUGAUCGAGACACGCAGCUGCAGCGCCCCAAAGCAGCGGGAAAGGGGCUGAGGCCAGGCAGCCCCGCCGCGGGGCCGGCGCUGCAGCAGGGCGCCCGGCCCGGCCCGCGCAGCGUGCCCCGCUCGGCGACACAGCGCGCGGCCAGCAGCGCUAAACCCCGCGCGUGGCUGCCGGGCGCCGCACAGCGCAGCGCUGCUGCCCACGAACCCCCUGCCCCGGCCCCCCUCCCCUCGGCCCACAGCAGCCUCUCCACAUCCCUUCCUAAAGAAAAUGGAUUUAAAGGGAUUACGUACUGCUUCAGGUGCACUUUACUGAGACCGUAGAGCCAGACUACAUCCAAGCAGAUAAAAUAUGGCAAAAACUCAGCCUAGAAACCAGGAAAGGCUUUUUUUAAAGUUAAAUACCUUCCCUGAGCCCCAGUGCACGCAGCACUGCCUGACCUCGCUGCUGCCCUCCAGCUGCCCUUUAUCACCUCGUUAGCGGGUUAAUUGGGCCACUCAGCUGAGUGCAAUUUGCCACCCGAGGCUUUUGGCCUGUGCACGUUCCCCCACAGCUUUCCGGUUUGCAAUGACUUCCAAAGCAACGCUCGGUGCGCUGGGAAGGAAAAGCUGUUUCAUUAAAUCUUCUAUUGCAAUAAGAGUUAUUAAGAAGUUAUUACAUCUGUUAUAGAUUUAUAGGCUGGUUUGGGUUAGAAGCACCUUCAAGACCAUUCCGUUUCCCCCACCAUGGGCAGGGACACCUCCCAGCAGCCCAGGUUGCUCCGAGCCCCGUCCAUCCCCAGCUGCUCUGGGCAGCCUGUGCCAGGGCCUCCCCCUCCUGGGGAACAAUCCCUUACAUCUCACCUAAAUUUCCCCUCUUUCAGUUUAAUUACCCCGUUUCCUGUCACUUCAGGCCCUGGUAACAAGUCUCUCUCCAGCUUUCUCAUAAGCUCCCUUUAUAUAUUGAAAGGCCACGAUAAGGUGUCCCGGAGCGUCCCCUUGUCCGGCCGAAGACCAGCUGCUCCGCCUGUCCCAGGAGGGCGGGUGGCGGGUGUCGCAGGCGGCCGCGGGGACCCGGGCGGGGCGGUGGGAGCGGGGGCGCUCGGGCCUGCAGUUCAGCCUGGGGGCACUAGAGGGCAGCUGGUCCCCGGUGUCCCCGCUGGUGUCCCCGCUGUCCCCAGCGCAGCUGCUGCUCCGCUCCGAGCGCCCGUGCGGUGUCACAGAGACCCCUCCAUAAAAACAGCUUUGAAAUGUGAGAGGGUUUUUGUCUUGGGCAGCAUAGGAGAUAAUCUUUGCAGAGGGGAUUGAAUGAGGACAUCAUUUCCGACCCAGUGUAGCGGAAACCUCAUGCCAGGGCGUUUGGGGCAAAGCUAAAUUUGCCCCUUAGCUCAGUGGACUCCAGUGAAACGUCCCGCAGCCCCACGGCGUUUGCGGGGUCACUCCUGCCAGCCGGGCCUGGUCUCACCUGUCCCUUCAGCGACCUGGCCAGCAGCGGCUCUGGCUCCGUCCCCGUCCCUGUGCGGUGGCAGCAGCGCUGGGUCCCAUGUCUCUGCUGCUGGUCUUCUGUUCACGGGCAGAAGCUCCUCCAUCCCCUGGCUGCUGCUGCUCCUCAUCCUCGCCAGCGCCCUGUGGUACCAUCACCAGGUAAAACAAUGGCGGGUGCCGACCCCAGCUGUGGGGACGGAAGGUCUGGGCUGGGGCGGCUCUGCCGUGCCAGCCGUCCCCAUGGCGGUGGCCUCUCCCCAGGACCCGUGUCACCACGAUGGGUAACGGGAGGUGGCAGCUGUGCUUUGCCUUCAUUUAGCCACGGGCUCUUUUUGUUCCCUUUUCCCCACCCUGGUGAGGAGCACCGCAAGUCAGAUGUGGGGUUUAUCUUCCAUUACCUGAAGCACAUUUGGUGCUUUCCAUUCUACUCUUUGCUAAUUCUUUGGUGCUUUACCCUCCAGCCCAAACCUCCCUAGAGACGGGACGGCCGGUGCCAGCCAGGCAAGGAGCAGAGCUCCCCCAAAGAGUACGCAAAAAACAUUGGGUGCCAAGUCUGGGAAGGAGGCUUUCCAGGGGCUGUUUGUUCAUUUUAAUGUUUUGUUCCAUUCUACCCUCCUUUGGGUAUAAAAGGGGUGACAGAUGGUUUUUCUAACCAACAAAGAAAAAACAAAGCCACACAAAGACAAAUGUAUUUAUUCUGCUUCAUUGUGACAACAACAACAGCAAAGUAGGAAUGAAAAACCCAAGAGAGGAGCAGUAUCCCCAGCAGAGUGCCAGAGCCCCACAGUUAAUCCCUGUGCGGCAGGACAGCCAUGCCGGCGGUGCCAGCGCCCGUGCCGCGCUCGCCGCUGCUCCCGGCGGGUUCUGCCGUGCUCAGGGACCCGGCGCCCGACCGUGGCCGGAGGACGGACGCGGCUUCAGCUGGGGCUGACUCACUUCACUUUAGCCAGAGAUGGGACUUGGUGACACAGAUUCAGUGCUGACUCAUCAUCUUGUGGACAAGGGGAGAAUCUGGGCUUGGUAAUCAAGAAGAAUUUUUACACCAAUGAAGAUUCAUGAGGAGAAAUGGAAUGUUGCCAGUUCAGUUUUGUUCUUCAUCUGCCAUUCCUGGUGGUGACGGUGUAUCCGAUGAACACGCCCCCGUGGCUCGGGCUCUCGGGGGCAGGAUGGCGCAGCCGGAGCACAGUCCUGGCUCUUCGGGGGGCACGGGCAGCAGCGCAGGUGCCGCAAAGCGCCUUCCCGGGGCAGGGGGCACUCGGCUUUGCUGCACAUGGGGGAACAGCAGCUGCCCGGGACCCAUCACAGCCCCCAGGUGCCCCCAGCCCCCAGCCCGGGCUGUGACCGGUCCUGCCAGAGCUUCCCCGCGGUGCCGAUCGGGGGUCACGCCGGGACUGCCGGAACCAGGCACCUGAGCCGGGCUGCUGCAUUAUAGAGAGCGAAAACGUUCCUCAUGGUGGAAUAUUUUUGCUGGCAAAGGCAAGUAUUUUAUUCUCACAGGUAUAAAUUAAUGGGUUCAUUCUCCUUGUCACAAAAUGUUAAAAAAAUAACACUAAUAGCUUUGUGCUUCAUUCAGCCUGAGCUGUGGGGAAAAUGUACCAGCCACGCUGCCUCCAAACAAUAACAGCUUUUUCCUUAGUGUCCUGGGAGGAAGAGAUCUGGGAAAUUAGGGGGAUUUGAAAGGAGCCUGAGGAGCUGGAGAGAGAAAAUCCAAUUUCAUAGUUAGCGCACGGAGGACGCCCAAAGGCAGCCGAGAUGCCAGAGGCUGCCGACCCAAGGUAAGCUGAGCUGGUUUAGACAAAUUGACUUGCUGCCUGUUUACUUACCGCAUGUGGGCUGGCUGCUCACAGGGACCGGUUUACAUUGAGCUUUGUGUGAUGCUAAUUCUAGUUCAAACCAAGCAGUUCGCUUGAUUAAAAUCGCUGUGCUGUGUAACAGAGAGGCCGGGUCCCCCGCUGCCCCAUCCCAGCGCUGGGAACAGCAGCAGAGGUGUCCCCACCUGCACCUCCUUGUGCUCCAAUCCCUGCGACUCGGGUCUGUGACUCAGGGGACAUUGCCCAGAGUGACACAGGGACAGCUCUGCCCCGGCUGUGCCGCUGCGCAGCUUCCACGGGGAUGCCGGAGCCUUCACCGCCUGUUCCUGAAAGCUCAGCCACAUCACGGACAUACACGGCGUAGUACACAUAUGGACACAAAAUAUGUUAUUUAUUGUGAAUUUUGCAAAGACACAUUUAAGCAACAAAAUAUACAUUUGUGAACCUUUAGUUUUAUACAUAACAAAUACAAUCUGCUACCAUAGCAAUAAAUUAAAUGUACAUUAUUUACAACAGACAUAGGCCACCAGGAACUACAAAGCACCACUUCUCUACAUAAAAAAUAAACUUUGUCAGAUACA